RNAcentral lists this ribosomal RNA (693 nucleotides) under Triticum aestivum (bread wheat). Its description in RNAcentral is "partial small subunit ribosomal RNA". The record is from RNAcentral. Lineage: Eukaryota; Viridiplantae; Streptophyta; Magnoliopsida; Poales; Poaceae.
AUGGCCGCCAGGCUGCUGCUCCUCUCCUUCGAUUGCCCGGCCGUCGCUGGCGGGCGGCGGUCUCGUCUGUCUGCAAUGCCACGGAUGUCUUCCGGUGCUCCCCUCGUGCGGCCCCCAGCCUCAUCCGUCGGCGCGUUCGCGGUCACCGCCGCCAGAGGCAACCUGCCGCACCACACCUCCGUGGUUGUGGAGGGUGGUGGAGUUUACACUGUUCGUGACUUUAUGACUAAAAGGGAACAACUCCAUGUUGUGAAACCAUCCACUUCAGUAGAUGAAGCUCUUGAGAGGCUGGUGGAGCAUCGAAUAACUGGCUUUCCUGUUACCGAUGAUCACUGGAAUUUGGUUGGUGUGGUCUCAGAUUAUGAUCUGUUAGCACUGGACUUGAUAUCAGGAAAUGGACAGGCUGAAGCGGACAUAUUUCCUGAGGUGGACAGCACUUGGAAGACUUUCCAUCAGAUACAAAAGCUCUUAAGCAAAACCAAUGGGAAAGUAGUUAGUGAUGUUAUGACUUCUGCACCUCUUGUGGUGCGUGAAACUACUAACCUUGAAGAUGCUGCAAGGUUACUUCUUGUUACUAAAUACCGCAGGCUGCCAGUAGUCGACAGUUCGGGCAAAUUGGUUGGAAUCAUCACAAGAGGGAACGUCGUCAGAGCUGCUCUUGAGUUUAAGAAAAAUGUUGAAGGGAGUCUUUGA